GGCGCAAACUUGAAGUAGAGUACAUAAGUAUGGUCAGAUAAUCGUACUAGUCGACUCUACUUCAAAUUUGGGCCC
Molecule: non-coding RNA, 75 nt
Organism: Haemonchus contortus (barber pole worm)
Lineage: Eukaryota; Metazoa; Nematoda; Chromadorea; Rhabditida; Trichostrongylidae
Source: Rfam